Molecule: long non-coding RNA, 1053 nt
Filed under: Anolis carolinensis (green anole)
Lineage: Eukaryota; Metazoa; Chordata; Lepidosauria; Squamata; Anolidae
Description: lncRNA (ENSACAG00000042995.1)
Source: RNAcentral
AUGGUGACAGGGGAUAGGGAAAAGGCAGAACUGCUUAAUGCCUUCUUUGCCUCGGUCUUCUCACAAAAAGAAAGCCAUCUUCAACCUCAGCAACAUGGAAUGGACGAAGGAUUGGGGGAAAUCCAACCCCAAAUAGGGAAACAAGUUGUCCAGGAACACCUGGCAAUCAUCUUCGAGAGUUCUUGGAGAACGGGAGAAGUCCCAGCAGAUUGGAGGAGGGCGAAUGUGGUCCCUAUCUUCAAGAAGGGAAAAAAGAACGACCCAAACAAUUACCGUCUGGUCAGCCUCACAUCAAUACCAGGCAAGAUUCUGGAAAAGAUCAUUAAGGAAGUGGUCUGCGAACACUUAGAAACAAAUGCGGUCAUUGCUAAUAGUCAACACGGAUUUACCAAUAACAAGUCAUGCCAGACUAAUCUGAUCUCUUUUUUCGAUAGAGUUACGAGUUGGGUCGAUACAGGGAAUGCCGUGGAUGUAGCGUACCUGGAUUUCAGUAAGGCCUUCGACAAAGUCCCCCACGACCUAAUAGCAAACAAACUAGUAAAAUGUGGGCUAGACAAAACUACGGUUAGGUGGAUCUGUAAUUGGCUAAGCGAACGAACCCAAAGGGUGCUCACCAAUGCAUCGUCUUCAUCAUGGAAAGAAGUGACAAGUGGAGUGCCGCAGGGCUCCGUCCUGGGCCCGGUUCUGUUCAACAUCUUUAUUAAUGACUUAGACGAAGGGUUAGAAGGCACGAUCAUCAAGUUUGCAGACGACACCAAACUCGGAGGGAUAGCUAACACUCCAGAAGACAGGAGCAGAAUUCAAAACGAUCUUGACAGACUAGAGAGAUGGGCCGAAACUAUCAAAAUGAAGUUCAACAGGACAAAUGCAAGAUACUUCACUUCGGCAGAAAAAAUGGAAAUCAAAGAUACAGAAUGGGGGACGCCUGGCUUGACAGCAGUGUGUGCGAAAAAGACAAGUGGAGUGCCGCAGGGCUCCGUCCUGGGCCCGGUUCUGUUCAACAUCUUUAUUAAUGACUUAGACGAAGGGUUAGAAGGCACGAUCAUCAAGUUU